CAGCGCCGCGGUAAUACGGAGGAUCCAAGCGUUAUCCGGAAUCAUUGGGUUUAAAGGGUCCGUAGGCGGUCUUGUAAGUCAGUGGUGAAAGCCCAUCGCUCAACGGUGGAACGGCCAUUGAUACUGCAGGACUUGAAUUAUUGGGAAGUAACUAGAAUAUGUAGUGUAGCGGUGAAAUGCUUAGAGAUUACAUGGAAUACCAAUUGCGAAGGCAGGUUACUACCAAUUGAUUGACGCUGAUGGACGAAAGCGUGGGUAGCGAACAGGAUUAGAUACCCCUGUAGUCCCUGUCUCUUAUACC
RNAcentral lists this ribosomal RNA (301 nucleotides) under uncultured bacterium. Its description in RNAcentral is "partial 16S ribosomal RNA". It matches the Rfam family "Bacterial small subunit ribosomal RNA", at positions 509 to 808 of the family's 1533-position model. The record is from RNAcentral.